RNAcentral lists this ribosomal RNA (439 nucleotides) under uncultured bacterium. Its description in RNAcentral is "partial 16S ribosomal RNA". It matches the Rfam family "Bacterial small subunit ribosomal RNA", at positions 339 to 795 of the family's 1533-position model. The record is from RNAcentral.
CUACGGGCUGCAGCAGUGAGGAAUAUUGCACAAUGGGGGGAACCCUGAUGCAGCAACGCCGCGUGGAGGAUGACGCAUUUCGGUGUGUAAACUCCUUUUAUAUGUCAAGAAAAUGACGGUAGCAUAUGAAUAAGCACCGGCUAACUCCGUGCCAGCAGCCGCGGUAAUACGGAGGGUGCAAGCGUUACUCGGAAUCACUGGGCGUAAAGGACGCGUAGGCAGGUUGGAAAGUCAGGUGUGAAAUCCUACAGCUUAACUGUAGAACUGCACUUGAAACUUCUAAUCUAGAGUAUGGGAGGGGGAGAUGGAAUUAGUGGUGUAGGGGUAAAAUCCGUAGAUAUCACUAGGAAUACCUAAGGCGAAGGCGAUCUCCUGGAACAUUACUGACGCUAAGGCGUGAAAGCGUGGGGAGCAAACAGGAUUAGAUACCCGUGUAGUC